Molecule: ribosomal RNA, 755 nt
Filed under: uncultured bacterium
Lineage: Bacteria
Description: bacterial SSU rRNA
Rfam family: Bacterial small subunit ribosomal RNA
Source: RNAcentral
GUCUCUUCGGGGAUGAUUAAACCGGCGCACGGGUGAGUAACACGUGAGUGACCUGCCUUUUAGACUGGAACAACUUACCGAAAGGUGAGCUAAUGCCGGAUGAGUUAUAUAAGUGCAUGUUUAUAUAGGAAAAGUUGGGGAGACCUGACGCUGAAAGAUGGACUCGCGUCCCAUUAGCUAGUUGGUAGGGUAAUGGCCUACCAAGGCGACGAUGGGUAGCCGGCCUGAGAGGGUGGCCGGCCACACUGGGACUGAGACACGGCCCAGACUCCUACGGGAGGCAGCAGUGGGGAAUUUUGCGCAAUGCUCGUAAGAGUGACGCAGCGACGCCGCGUGAAUGACGAAGGCCUUCGGGUCGUAAAGUUCUUUCGACAGGGAAGAAAAUGCCUAUAAGUAACUGUGUAUGUAUUGACGGUACCUGUAUAAGCAGCCCCGGCUAACUCCGUGCCAGCAGCCGCGGUAAUACGGAGGGGGCGAGCGUUGUUCGGAGUGACUGGGCGUAAAGAGCACGUAGGCGGUGUUGUAAGUCAUUAGUCAAAGACUAGAGCUCAACUUUAGUAAGGCUAGUGAUACUAUAAUACUAGAGUAUCAGAGAGGAUUGCAGAAUUCCUGGUGUAGCGGUGAAAUGCGUAGAUAUCAGGAGGAAUACCGUUAGCGAAGGCGGCAAUCUGGCUGGAAACUGACGCUGAGGUGCGAAAGCGUGGGUAGCAAACAGGAUUAGAUACCCUGGUAGUCCACGCUGUAAACGAUGGAUG